AUCAAAUUAGCAAAAACCCAAUGCUGCUGACUUAGGAUCAGUGAUUAUAGGUGAGAUCCCUUUAUUUGAUA
RNAcentral lists this transfer RNA (71 nucleotides) under Cerithidea tonkiniana. RNAcentral's name for it is "tRNA-Leu". It matches the Rfam family "tRNA". From Rfam's summary of the family: Transfer RNA (tRNA) molecules are approximately 80 nucleotides in length. Their secondary structure includes four short double-helical elements and three loops (D, anti-codon, and T loops). Further hydrogen bonds mediate the characteristic L-shaped molecular structure. tRNAs have two regions of fundamental functional importance: the anti-codon, which is responsible for specific mRNA codon recognition, and the 3' end, to which the tRNAs corresponding amino acid is attached (by aminoacyl-tRNA synthetases). tRNAs cope with the degeneracy of the genetic code in two manners: having more than one tRNA (with a specific anti-codon) for a particular amino acid; and 'wobble' base-pairing, i.e. permitting non-standard base-pairing at the 3rd anti-codon position. Lineage: Eukaryota; Metazoa; Mollusca; Gastropoda; Potamididae. The record is from RNAcentral.